Molecule: long non-coding RNA, 4735 nt
Organism: Astyanax mexicanus (Mexican tetra)
Lineage: Eukaryota; Metazoa; Chordata; Actinopteri; Characiformes; Acestrorhamphidae
Exons: 2
Source: RefSeq, a predicted model, not a curated record
UAGUAUAACUAAUUACUACAUUUAUUAAACAAGAACAUCUCUCUUCAACUUCCUCUUUUUAGGUCCAGUCAGAGCAGGUGUGCAGUCUAUAUUGUUUAGCCCUAUGCCUUGACUUUAUGGCAAAGUGGAAAGUUCACCUUAAUCUUAUCGCUGCCUUUACUGAGCCCUUCAUGCGAGAGAUAGGGGGGCGGUGACCCAGGGGUCAGCAAAGAUGCCGACCUGAUUAACCCUUGCAGGCCCGGGAUGGAUCAAAGGUUAACCAGGCUAAUCUACAUGAAGGGACUGAUUAAGUUAGAUGAUGAGAAGUCAGAAAUGAAGAAUUACAGUAUGCCCUCUAAAGCAGCAUUGUCUCAUCUCAGAUGGCCCUUGAGAUCUGGACGGAUAGCCUAUUUAUCAGCACAGUAGCCUGUAAUAUCAUUGUGUAGCACAAACAAACCACUUAAUAUUGUUCCUAACCCAAUUGACACUGAGCUGAGAUGUAGCUGCGUAUUGCACUGAUUAUUUACACACUUGUGUAUGUAAGACUUCCUUUAAUUAUUCCUAUUUCCAUUUUGUCCCCAAAACUGACAGCAAUUUUUGAUCCCACCAGAAUCUCAACACUGUAGCUUAGUAGAUCUUAAAAUAAUAGAAAUAUUUUGUGUUCUCCAAGACUUUUUAAAAAAGUGAAUUCUGCAAUAAGUGUAAAAAUACAAAAUAAUAUUUUAAGCUCUGUCAUGACUAUAGGUGAUAGGUUGUAAUGGGUUAUAAUGUAGAGGGGGUUGGACCCUAUAGGCUGGUGUAGUUCAGCCUGGUACAUUUCAGUGCACAUCCCAGAAACAGUGCCUCAGGACGGUUGGGGGAUUUUUCCAACAGUGCCCAGCAAGCACCUUAAAAGAUCACAAAUUAGAUACAGUGAUACAGAGAAGUCAGCUGCAGUAAAACAAUUAGCCUAUUUUGCUACAAAAAAAUAUUAUUUUGCUGAAUUCUAAAAUAUUUGUAUGUGCCAGAAAAUAAAUAAUAAUGAAACAAAACAAACAAACAAAAAGUUUUGCUAACAUGACUAGAGAAACGUGUUUUAAAGUUUACUCUGGACAUUUUUGUUGUAAAAUGCUUUAUUAAUUAUUUUUACAUUUUAUGUUUACGGUAAUUUAAGUUGUUAAACAUGAAGGAGAUGAUUAAUGAUUGAAGCUUUUUUUUAAUGUAAGCAAUUGCCAGAUAUAUCCUCCCUGUAAUAUUCACAACCUUUACACCUUUACAGUAUUUUAUUUAACACUUUUUUAUUACUUUAACCUAGCUGUAUAAUUUACAGAUUUGGAAACUUUGAUCACAUUUUGAUAAAGUUGUUUUGUGACAACAUCAGUUGUAAAAAAGCUAUACAAAUAAAUUUAAUUUGAUUUGAACAUUACGUGCAGUUGAAAUCAUGAAUUCCAAUUAGUUGUAUUUGGUUAUGUCAUUUGACUCCACUGCAGUGUUUAGAACAGGUGGAUAAAUAAUCUAAAGAGAUCAGUAUGAAUUAAAAUAAAACAUACAAAAACCAAACAACAACUAACAGCAUAUAUCAUUAAAUUCUUACAAACUAAUAAAAUAAUGAACAACAAUUUUCAGAACUUUACAAUCAAUAUUAUGUGCAAUCCUUCAGCAUAGUUCCAUCAAAACACGUUAACAAAUUACAUUCACACACACACACACACACACUUACAAGAACUCUUCGGUGUCCAUGCUCAUUCAAAAGCCUCAGAUACCACUUACAGGCAAAUUGAAUGGGAUUAUGGUCUUAUUCUGUACAGACGUCUGGACUGGUGCCCAAAUAUGUUGUAAUUUGUUCAACAUUACCUUCGGUCUUAAAACAACACUGCUGCCUGGGGAAUUCAGAGGACUUAGUGCUUCCUCAUGGCACAAUAAACCCGCACUACAUUUUGCUCUUGUAGAUUUGCCUUUAAUGCUCAGUACAUUCGCUCAGAGCUGAAGCUUUCUUAGUGGUCAGUUCUCAGUGUGAGAAUAAUAUACCCUAAGCUCAUCCUCUUUAAGCCUUCUUUUCUUGUAAUGUAAAUGAAUUGGAUGGAUGUGAGUAGUGAGUUAAAGUUGCAUUAGACUUUAGUCUGCUAUAUUCGGUAUAUAUGUACAGGUGCGUGUGCUUGCAAAUUGCUUGCAUGGUUACAAUGGCUACCUAGAUCCCAGCCAAUCGGUUGCCUUCAUGGAUAAAUAAAAAGUGCUCCUCAGUGUGUGAUGAGGCAUUUGACAACACUGCGUGGGUAGUGAUUGGACAAGGUACUGUGGCAGGCUGUAGUGUAAAUAAUAACAGGAGUUUAUUUUACACUACAUGCUUAUGCAGCGGGAUCUCAGAGGGUGAUCUCAGACAUCAUCAGCACAUACUAGAUUUUAAUAAAUAAAUCAAGUAAAUAGGCAAAUGUACACAAAUGAAGUGGCUUUAUUCUCGUGGUUACCAUUUGACUACCAUUUGGCUUUAUGAUAAGGCUGACAUUGGAUGUGUUAUUUCCAGCACGAUAAAAGCAGGUUAAGGCAGUGCUGCAUGGAAUCUUUGGAAUGCAUUAUUUUUUUUUUACAUUAAAGCUCAUUAUUCAGUUAUUAAUUUCCAGACUUUUAUGUUACCCAGUAAAUUCAAUGAAGCGAAUUAAUAAUUUGCACAGAACAGCAGUUAAUGGGUUAAAACUGAAAGCUGAGUUUUCUGUAUGCUUUUCAGAUAUAUGAAAUCAUUAAUCCGAAUGGAAAUAGUCACUGUUUUUGCCUGCACAAACCGGUGAGACCUCCUGCAAAACAUGUUUAAAAAGAAAAUGAUUAAUUUAAGAAAAUAAUUAAUUUAUAUUAUGCUAAAUAGGCAAUUUUAAUGGCCUAUUAUAAUUAAUUUAGAUUUAGUUUAGAAAAAUACAUUACAUAAAUUAUAUUUUACAUUUUAUGGUUACUGUAUGUCAUAUUUUUUUUAUUGUUGUAUAUAAAAUAGUUGAAAAACUUUGAAUGGAAGACUUUGUUUUUUUUCUCGCUCAGUCUUUAAAAAAUAAUUUUACAAACAAGCAGCUGCUAUGAUAUACUUUGAAUUUAUUUCACACCAUUUUCCCCCAUAUGCUCGCCUGAAAUCACACUGCAAUUUAAAGUUGCACAUGAUGUGUGCAACAGUGAUUGCACAGACCAUCAUAUCCAUAUAGUGUGCUUUUUUUUUUUUUUUUUUUUACAAUUUACACAUGUCUAAUUACACGGUGUGUUCUGUUUGUAUUGGGGACUGAUUAAAUUAGAACAAGUAAAAAAAAAUCAUCUGUUCGUAUGUUUCAAACUCCUGAAAAGCACAUUUUAAGACUAAUUUGUAUCAUACUGCACCACUUACGAAGCUCUCGAGUGUCUGCUUUGGUUGCAGUGGUAGUGGAAGUAAAACAAAAAAAAGAGAGAGAGACAAUAUACCCAAUAUACACAAACAAGGGAGUAUGUAAGCAAGCUAAUGUGAAAUAAAGCAUCUAUUUGAUAAAACAUUAUGUAAAUCACAGCUUCCGCCAGCUGUGCCCUGUAUUCGUAAGUGAGCCGCAUAUGACUAUAAAUGAUCAUUCCGAUUAAAAUCAUCAUUAUGUGUACUUCAGUGAAGCUUGUAUAUGUGUUCCCCGUCUUCACACACGUCUUAAACAUGACGGCGCUCAGGCGGAAGUGUGUUAAAAAAGUCUUGUUUAUGGCCGUUGUUAAUACUUGAAACAGCAUUACAAUUUGUUGUGCAGUGAGUGUGAAAGCUGUACUUACUCCUCUUAAAAAAGAACCCCUUUUCCAACAGGUUUGUGGUUUGCGGUGCAGUUAAGUGGUGAAGAUGAUAGCAUGCAUGGCUGUGGGAAGCUAUUUGGUGGAGAAAUACCACCUAGCUCAUUCAGUACACUCAGAAUGAUCCGGCCGUGAUGCAUGAAAAUGCUUGUAACUUGCUGCGAAGCACAAAAAUGCUGCAUAAAUAACACUUUUCAAAAUUGAAGUCUGAAAAAUAAAACACACACACUGUUUUUCCACUGUUUUUUUUUUUCAUCAAACUGCCAAUAACAGCAUUGGUUAGUGUUCUGCAUACUUUUAAAAGGUUUAAGUAUUACUACUCACCAUGUUAAGGCCACAUAUAAUGACUAACAAAAUUCUAGGUGGAAGGAAAGAAAUGCGACGGCACCCUUUAAGUGUUUUAACUCUAAUUGCUUCCAAAAGAUUUUAAAUGCAUGUAAAAUGUAAACAUGUGAUGCAGUGAGAAUACCACUGAGCAAACGUUGGCAAUCUAUAUACAAAGAAUGAUCCAUAAAUCUAUUAAACCCUCAGUAGGAUCAGGAUCAGGAUCAGGCAUGUCACUUGCUGUGUCGUCUAAAGGUGAUGUAACCUUAAACUGUGCCUCAAACUGAACCUGAGGCUUGUGUAUGGACGAAAGUGGAACAGCGGGUCAGUUGUCUGCUGUGUUAAGUGUGUGCAGGUCCGGGAGCAGCGAGGAUGAUGUGGAGAGGCCGUGGCCACCGACACCAAGCAGCUCUCAAUGAUGAUGUCACAGCCAAGCGCAUGGGUGAAACACUUGGGAGAAAACGGAGUGGAAGACAUGUGUGGAUCAGUGAAUAAUGCAAGGAAACAAAAGAGACAUUUUCAUUUAUCAAUCACACAUCAAUGAAACGGCCAGAGCCGCCGACUGAUUAGCGGAGCUCGCGGCAUAUUGUAGCGGCAAACUGCACAACUGAUUCUGAACAGUACUGUGUAAUUAUUCUGUCAAAUUAACAGCAAUCCAAUAAAGUGAGCAUUGUAUUUA